Molecule: ribosomal RNA, 445 nt
Filed under: uncultured bacterium
Lineage: Bacteria
Description: partial 16S ribosomal RNA
Rfam family: Bacterial small subunit ribosomal RNA
Source: RNAcentral
CCAGACUCCUACGGGAGGCAGCAGUGGGGAAUAUUGCACAAUGGGGGAAACCCUGAUGCAGCGACGCCGCGUGAGCGAUGAAGUAUUUCGGUAUGUAAAGCUCUAUCAGCAGGGAAGAAAAUGACGGUACCUGCAAAGGAAGCUCCGGCUAACUACGUGCCAGCAGCCGCGGUAAUACGUAGGGAGCGAGCGUUGUCCGGAAUUACUGGGUGUAAAGGGAGCGUAGGCGGGCGAGAAAGUUGAAUGUUAAAUCUACCGGCUUAACUGGUAGCUGCGUUCAAAACUUCUUGUCUUGAGUGAAGUAGAGGCAGGCGGAAUUCCUAGUGUAGCGGUGAAAUGCGUAGAUAUUAGGAGGAACACCAGUGGCGAAGGCGGCCUGCUGGGCUUUAACUGACGCUGAGGCUCGAAAGCGUGGGGAGCAAACAGGAUUAGAUACCCCCGUAGA